UGGUGGAGUGAUUUGUCAGAUUAAUUUCGAUAACGAACGAGACCUUCACUGUUAACUAGCCCGCAUUGCUUUGGCAGUGCGCUGGCUUCUUAGCGGGACUAUUGGCGCGAGCCAAUGGAAGUUGGAGGCGAUAACA
RNAcentral lists this ribosomal RNA (136 nucleotides) under uncultured eukaryote. Its description in RNAcentral is "partial 18S ribosomal RNA". It matches the Rfam family "Eukaryotic small subunit ribosomal RNA", at positions 1299 to 1458 of the family's 1831-position model. The record is from RNAcentral.